GACGAACGCUGGCGGCGUGCCUAAUACAUGCAAGUCGAACGAGAGCGACCGGUGCUUGCACUGGUCAAUCUAGUGGCGAACGGGUGAGUAACACGUGGGUAACCUGCCCAUCAGAGGGGGAUAACAUCCGGAAACGGAUGCUAAAACCGCAUAGGUCUUCGAACCGCAUGGUUUGAAGAGGAAAAGAGGCGCAAGCUUCUGCUGAUGGAUGGACCCGCGGUGCAUUAGCUAGUUGGUGAGGUAACGGCUCACCAAGGCCGUGAUGCAUAGCCGACCUGAGAGGGUGAUCGGCCACAUUGGGACUGAGACACGGCCCAAACUCCUACGGGAGGCAGCAGUAGGGAAUCUUCCGCAAUGGACGCAAGUCUGACGGAGCAACGCCGCGUGAGUGAAGAAGGUUUUCGGAUCGUAAAACCCUGUUGUUAGAGAAGAACAAGUGCUAGAGUAACUGUUAGCGACUUGACGGUAUCUAACCAGAAAGCCACGGCUAACUACGUG
This 498-nucleotide ribosomal RNA is filed under the name uncultured bacterium. RNAcentral describes it as "partial 16S ribosomal RNA". It matches the Rfam family "Bacterial small subunit ribosomal RNA", at positions 28 to 507 of the family's 1533-position model. The record is from RNAcentral.